CCCCUCGCCCCUUCCUAUCUUGCUGUCCUAACGCACCGACAGCCACGCUCGUGACCUGCCCAUCCCUGACCUCGCGUGUCCCAUUGCCUGCGACGCCCCCGAGCCUUCCCGAGCUCGCUCGAGUUCUUCUACUCCUCCUUGAACUCCGUAGGCUCGUCUCCCCUCUCUCUGCGUGGCCCUCCUCGUGCCAGCGCACCGUCGACGUGUCGUCGUGGCCGCGUUUCCCCCUCGAGCUCGUUUGCCUAUAAAUAGGCUAUCCCGAGCUUUCCUGACCUCACUAGCCCCUUCCCCGCUCUCCCACACACAUCGCCGACCACUCCAACAAGCUCCAAGAGCCCUCCUUCCCCAGCAUUGCCGCCAUGGCCACCGUUGGGCCUCGCUCAAAUUCGAGCAUACUCGAGGCCCUCGCCUCCUUAUUCUGUGACUAGGAGAUCCCCGAGGUCCGGCGAACCUUCUCCGCUCUUCAUCCCCUCCUCCAGCGCACCAGGGAGCCAUACCCAUCGCCUCAGUCGCUGCCGUCCGCCGCGGGAGUUGCGGCCCCGCUCCCUCUGCCCCGGCGGAAGUGGACCCUGCAGGCGGGAGUGCCUCGUCCUCGUGGUCACUCCGGCGGUCCGAGCUCCGUCGGAGGUGGCCGGAGCCGCCCGAGGCAGUCGCCGGAGCACGCGGCCUCCUCUAUCCAGCGAGUGCUCGCGCGAGGAAGGAGAAGACCCAGGACAGAUGGGCCCCUCCUCCCGAGGACCCCACUCGUCGGCCACACAGGCGUUGACCCGGCCGGGUGACGUGGCCAAGUGGAAACAUAUUUCGCGGAAUACAUUUUCGCUUACACUGUAAGCCAGGGGCCUGUUUGUGAAGAAUCUUUUAUAGAAUAGUUCCUGUUUUUCAAACCUCCGUAUCUCGGUGACCGUAACUCCGAAUCAGCCCCCUCUGAGAGAGAACCAUUCCAGCGAAUCGUUCCACGAUUUCACCGCACUUCUUCCCGGUGUAUCCUUCAUCCCCAGGCAAGCCACGACAGCCACAUGCAUGAUGGCCAUGCAGUAGACAUGGUUUACAACUUGAAUAUUUAAAUAUUGUGUGCCGGUUAAUAUUUCGUCAAUGAUUUAUAUAUGUUGGUGCAUCCAUGUUUACCAUUAUGCUAUGGUCUUAUGCAUCUAGUUGGCUACAUGAUUUCUUGCUGCUCUUAUUGUUAAGCUCUGUUCUGGUAAUUAUUUCCGAUGCUAGUAGUCAUGCUAUGUUUAUAUGAAGUGUUAUACUUGUGCUAUUCAUGAUCAUCGCUAUGCCCUGCUCAUGUGCAUCUAGUAGAGUAAUGCUUUAUUGGUGUUCAUGUUAAAUGGUUAUGUAGCUCAUCCAUGUUUAUGCUGAUAUCCUGCUCAUAUGCAUGUCAGUGCAUCAUGCUAUUUUAUUAUGGCUCAGCUCAUUGCUACCUCUUGAGCAUGCAUUGGUUUUCCCUUGAAGAGGAAAGGGUGAUGCAGCAAAGU
Long non-coding RNA from Triticum dicoccoides, 1475 nucleotides. RefSeq lists it as uncharacterized. The transcript has 3 exons. The record is from RefSeq and is a predicted model, not a curated record. NCBI's taxonomy places the organism in Eukaryota, Viridiplantae, Streptophyta, Magnoliopsida, Poales, Poaceae.